GAUGAAGAACGCAGUGAAAUGCGAUAAGUAAUGUGAAUUGCAGAAUUCAGUGAAUCAUCGAAUCUUUGAACGCACAUUGCGCCCCUUGGUAUUCCGAGGGGCAUGCCUGUUCGAGCGUCAUUAUAACCCUCAAGCUCAGCUUGGUGUUGGGGCCUGCUGCAGUGGCAGCCCUUAAAAUCAGUGGCGGCGCCAUCUGGCUCUAAGCGUAGUAAUUCUUCUCGCUAUGGAGUCCUGGUGGAUGCUUGCCAUCAACCCCCAAUUUUUCUAUGGUUGACCUCGGAUCAGGUAGGGAUACCCGCUGAACUUAAGCAUAUCAAUAAGCGGAGGA
This 328-nucleotide unclassified non-coding RNA is filed under the name soil metagenome. RNAcentral describes it as "partial contains 5.8S ribosomal RNA, internal transcribed spacer 2, and large subunit ribosomal RNA". The stretch from base 1 to 120 matches the Rfam family "5.8S ribosomal RNA", at positions 35 to 154 of the family's 154-position model. The record is from RNAcentral.